Long non-coding RNA from Amphiprion ocellaris (clown anemonefish), 1557 nucleotides. The record is from Ensembl. Lineage: Eukaryota; Metazoa; Chordata; Actinopteri; Pomacentridae.
AAAAUCGAACCAACGCCCAGCCAAUCACGUGGCGCUCCUCCGGUCAUGUGACGCAGACGGUUCACCUCACAAGACCGGGGUCAACCACGGCUAUCAGCAUGAACGACGGCGCUUCAGACCCACGCAGCGAGGACCCGAUGCCAGGUCCAGUGGACAGACUUCAGACGUCUCUGUGUGUUCGGUCCUGUCCGGUCCUGUCUCUGGUUGCCUGGUUACAGACGCUGCUGCACCCGCACGUUUAAAAAUGUCUACACCUGAAACUCCACCACGUCUAAAGAAGCAAAAACGUUUGCAAAUGUACAGACUGGAGUGGGAAGAGUGGAACCCCUGGCAAUGGAUACAAGGCAAACUGUGUUUUCUGUUGCUCAUGGACUGGCUGAAGUAAGGCAGCAUCAGGAGACAAACCUGGAGGAAAUAUAAGAACAGAGAGAACCCAACCAGCAGGUCACAGUUUAUCAUCAUCUAAUCAUCUCCUGAAGUCCAUAUGAACAAAGAACUGCAGACUCUUCACAACCUGCUCAAACUCUUGGUACAGGACCUCACCACACGGGUCAAGAAGGUUUCCAUCUCAUUUCUACUCUGAAGCUCACCUUCUCCUGCUCAAACUGCUGACAAAUGUUUCUGCUGCUCUAAAGUCUGGUCUCCAGAACUUCCUAAAAACUCUCAAAGUCUCUUCUGCUGCAGGUUGCUUUGUAGAACUGUUCCAGAAAACCUCACUAAACCACAUGGAGGGGCCUCAAGUUAGUCAUCCAAAUGAAACUGUACAAAAACCAAACUAGCACAACCCAAAUGCUAAAGUCUCCUGCAGCCUACCAGAGAACCUCUGAGAACAGAGAAUCAGGACAGGAACUCUUACCUUCUGGACAACCAACGUUGGUUCACAAACAAGAAUACAGAAUGUGUCUGACCAGAAACCUCUGAAGACUCACUACAGCCAAGAUAAAGACACAACUCAGCUGGAGCAAAUCCACUAAUCACUGCACACAUUAGCACCAUGUGCCAACUGUGGCUAAAGAACCACAUUUACCAAGACAACUAUCCAGUACAAAGCCCUAAAACACACCAAGAAACACAUUAAAGACGAUUUUACUGCUGGAAGCUGCAAGUCAACGCCGAAAAAACAAAAGCAACGGAACCAAACCCAGUUCACUGGUGAAGAGAAGCAGAGGAAAUGUUUGUCUGCAGCUAAAUAAAGCAGGAAGACACUGAGCUGCUCAGGUGUUCCUGAUAACACCAAGCUGCUCAGGUGUUCCUGAUAACACCAAGCAGCCACCUGGACAGCCAAUAGGAACACAGCUUACUGGAAGUCCAGAGGGCUGGCUUAGUGAAGGAAAUUUAGUUUAAAGUUGAGGCAGAAAGUUAACAAAGAAAGUUGAAAACCACCUUCUGAUACCUGAAAUCUCUGAGUUUUCACACAAAGAACACCUGAACAUGUCAAACUGGUUCCAUAGUAGAACCAUCAUUGUAAAAACGUCAUAGUAUGGUGUGUUGCUCAAAAAACAUUAGGACCCGGCUGUCAGGGGACAAACAUGUAAGAAACAUGAGAACAGAGAGAAC